GAUGAACGCUGGCGGCGUGCCUAAUACAUGCAAGUCGAGCGAACAGACGAGGAGCUUGCUCCUCUGACGUUAGCGGCGGACGGGUGAGUAACACGUGGAUACCCUACCUAUAAGACUGGGAUAACUUCGGGAAACCGGAGCUAAUACCGGAUAAUAUAUUGAACCGCAUGGUUCAAUAGUGAAAGACGGUUUUGCUGUCACUUAUAGAUGGAUCCGCGCCGCAUUAGCUAGUUGGUAAGGUAACGGCUUACCAAGGCGACGAUGCGUAGCCGACCUGAGAGGGUGAUCUGCCACACUGGAACUGAGACACGGUCCAGACUCCUACGGGAGGCAGCAGUAGGGAAUCUUCCGCAAUGGGCGAAAGCCUGACGGAGCAACGCCGCGUGAGUGAUGAAGGUCUUCGGAUCGUAAAACUCUGUUAUUAGGGAAGAACAAAUGUGUAAGUAACUAUGCACGUCUUGACGGUACCUAAUCAGAAAGCCACGGCUAACUACGUG
This 497-nucleotide ribosomal RNA is filed under the name uncultured bacterium. Its description in RNAcentral is "partial 16S ribosomal RNA". It matches the Rfam family "Bacterial small subunit ribosomal RNA", at positions 28 to 507 of the family's 1533-position model. The record is from RNAcentral.